This 204-nucleotide long non-coding RNA is filed under the name Theobroma cacao (cacao). RNAcentral describes it as "long non-coding RNA (TCAC_LNC005493)". The record is from RNAcentral. Lineage: Eukaryota; Viridiplantae; Streptophyta; Magnoliopsida; Malvales; Malvaceae.
AAUAAACAACGAGGCUUAUGAUUUCCUAAAAAGUUUGGCUCAUGCCAAAAUCAUUCUCAUACUCAGUUAUCAAGGAUACCUUGGCCGAAGGCUAUCCCAACUAAGUCCGCCAAGGCUGUUAAAAAGUUAUGUACGCAUAAAUCAUGUUUUUAUUUUGAAAGCAUAGCCGUUCCUUGGCGUUGGCUGAGUUCACCCUCACGUGGU